RNAcentral lists this ribosomal RNA (577 nucleotides) under Sporothrix gemella. RNAcentral's name for it is "partial large subunit ribosomal RNA". It matches the Rfam family "Eukaryotic large subunit ribosomal RNA", at positions 68 to 668 of the family's 3401-position model. Lineage: Eukaryota; Fungi; Ascomycota; Sordariomycetes; Ophiostomatales; Ophiostomataceae. The record is from RNAcentral.
ACGGGGCAUUGCCCAGUAACGGCGAGUGAAGCGGCAACAGCUCAAAUUUGAAAUCUGGCCCCCCGGCCCGAGUUGUAAUUUGGAGAGGAUGCUUUUGGCACGGCGCCGUCCGAGUUCCUUGGAACAGGACGCCACAGAGGGUGAGAGCCCCGUACGGACGGACGCCUAGCCUCUACAAAGCUCCUUCGACGAGUCGAGUAGUUUGGGAAUGCUGCUCAAAAUGGGAGGUAAAUUUCUUCUAAAGCUAAAUACCGGCCAGAGACCGAUAGCGCACAAGUAGAGUGAUCGAAAGAUGAAAAGCACUUUGAAAAGAGGGUUAAAAAGUACGUGAAAUUGUUGAAAGGGAAGCGCCUGUGACCAGACUUGCGCCCCGUGGACCAUCCGGCGUUCUCGCCGGUGCACUCCGCGGGGCGCAGGCCAGCAUCGGUUCUCCUAGGGGGAUAAAGGCCGCGGGAACGUAGCUCCUUCGGGAGUGUUAUAGCCCGUGGUGGCAUGCCCCUGGGGGGACCGAGGACCGCGCUUCGGCAAGGAUGCUGGCGUAAUGGUCACCAGCGACCCGUCUUGAAACCACGGACCA